RNAcentral lists this ribosomal RNA (2245 nucleotides) under Salmonella enterica subsp. diarizonae. RNAcentral's name for it is "partial 23S ribosomal RNA". It matches the Rfam family "Bacterial large subunit ribosomal RNA", at positions 415 to 2640 of the family's 2925-position model. The record is from RNAcentral. Lineage: Bacteria; Pseudomonadati; Pseudomonadota; Gammaproteobacteria; Enterobacterales; Enterobacteriaceae.
GGGCGGGACACGUGGUAUCCUGUCUGAAUAUGGGGGGACCAUCCUCCAAGGCUAAAUACUCCUGACUGACCGAUAGUGAACCAGUACCGUGAGGGAAAGGCGAAAAGAACCCCGGCGAGGGGAGUGAAACAGAACCUGAAACCGUGUACGUACAAGCAGUGGGAGCCUCUCUUUAUGGGGGGUGACUGCGUACCUUUUGUAUAAUGGGUCAGCGACUUAUAUUCUGUAGCAAGGUUAACCGCAUAGGGGAGCCGAAGGGAAACCGAGUCUUAACCGGGCGUUAAGUUGCAGGGUAUAGACCCGAAACCCGGUGAUCUAGCCAUGGGCAGGUUGAAGGUUGGGUAACACUAACUGGAGGACCGAACCGACUAAUGUUGAAAAAUUAGCGGAUGACCUGUGGCUGGGGGUGAAAGGCCAAUCAAACCGGGAGAUAGCUGGUUCUCCCCGAAAGCUAUUUAGGUAGCGCCUCGUGAACUCAUCUCCGGGGGUAGAGCACUGUUUCGGCUAGGGGGCCAUCCCGGCUUACCAACCCGAUGCAAACUGCGAAUACCGGAGAAUGUUAUCACGGGAGACACACGGCGGGUGCUAACGUCCGUCGUGAAGAGGGAAACAACCCAGACCGCCAGCUAAGGUCCCAAAGUCAUGGUUAAGUGGGAAACGAUGUGGGAAGGCCCAGACAGCCAGGAUGUUGGCUUAGAAGCAGCCAUCAUUUAAAGAAAGCGUAAUAGCUCACUGGUCGAGUCGGCCUGCGCGGAAGAUGUAACGGGGCUAAACCAUGCACCGAAGCUGCGGCAGCGACACUUUAGUGUUGUUGGGUAGGGGAGCGUUCUGUAAGCCGUUGAAGGUGUCCUGUGAGGGGUGCUGGAGGUAUCAGAAGUGCGAAUGCUGACAUAAGUAACGAUAAAGCGGGUGAAAAGCCCGCUCGCCGGAAGACCAAGGGUUCCUGUCCAACGUUAAUCGGGGCAGGGUGAGUCGACCCCUAAGGCGAGGCCGAAAGGCGUAGUCGAUGGGAAACGGGUUAAUAUUCCCGUACUUGGUGUUACUGCGAAGGGGGGACGGAGAAGGCUAUGUUGGCCGGGCGACGGUUGUCCCGGUUUAAGCGUGUAGGUGUGUGUUCCAGGUAAAUCCGGUUCACUUUAACACUGAGGCGUGAUGACGAGGCACCACGGUGCUGAAGCAACAAAUGCCCUGCUUCCAGGAAAAGCCUCUAAGCAUCAGGUAACAUCAAAUCGUACCCCAAACCGACACAGGUGGUCAGGUAGAGAAUACCAAGGCGCUUGAGAGAACUCGGGUGAAGGAACUAGGCAAAAUGGUGCCGUAACUUCGGGAGAAGGCACGCUGACACGUAGGUGAAGUGAUUUACUCAUGGAGCUGAAGUCAGUCGAAGAUACCAGCUGGCUGCAACUGUUUAUUAAAAACACAGCACUGUGCAAACACGAAAGUGGACGUAUACGGUGUGACGCCUGCCCGGUGCCGGAAGGUUAAUUGAUGGGGUCAGCGCAAGCGAAGCUCCUGAUCGAAGCCCCGGUAAACGGCGGCCGUAACUAUAACGGUCCUAAGGUAGCGAAAUUCCUUGUCGGGUAAGUUCCGACCUGCACGAAUGGCGUAAUGAUGGCCAGGCUGUCUCCACCCGAGACUCAGUGAAAUUGAACUCGCUGUGAAGAUGCAGUGUACCCGCGGCAAGACGGAAAGACCCCGUGAACCUUUACUAUAGCUUGACACUGAACAUUGAGCCUUGAUGUGUAGGAUAGGUGGGAGGCUUUGAAGCGUGGACGCCAGUCUGCGUGGAGCCGACCUUGAAAUACCACCCUUUAAUGUUUGAUGUUCUAACGUGGACCCGUAAUCCGGGUUGCGGACAGUGUCUGGUGGGUAGUUUGACUGGGGCGGUCUCCUCCUAAAGAGUAACGGAGGAGCACGAAGGUUGGCUAAUCCUGGUCGGACAUCAGGAGGUUAGUGCAAUGGCAUAAGCCAGCUUGACUGCGAGCGUGACGGCGCGAGCAGGUGCGAAAGCAGGUCAUAGUGAUCCGGUGGUUCUGAAUGGAAGGGCCAUCGCUCAACGGAUAAAAGGUACUCCGGGGAUAACAGGCUGAUACCGCCCAAGAGUUCAUAUCGACGGCGGUGUUUGGCACCUCGAUGUCGGCUCAUCACAUCCUGGGGCUGAAGUAGGUCCCAAGGGUAUGGCUGUUCGCCAUUUAAAGUGGUACGCGAGCUGGGUUUAGAACGUCGUGAGACAGUUCGGUCCCUA